CCUACGGGAGGCAGCAGUGGGGAAUUUUCCGCAAUGGGCGAAAGCCUGACGGAGCAAUACCGCGUGAGGGAGGAAGGCUUUUGGGUCGUAAACCUCUUUUGUCAGGGAAGAACACAAUGACGGUACCUGACGAAUCAGCAUCGGCUAACUCCGUGCCAGCAGCCGCGGUAAUACGGAGGAUGCAAGCGUUAUCCGGAAUUAUUGGGCGUAAAGCGUCCGCAGGUGGUUAAUCAAGUCUGCUGUUAAAGCGCGGAGCUUAACUUCGUAAAGGCGGUGGAAACUGCGAGGCUAGAGUACGGUAGGGGUAGCGGGAAUUCCCAGUGUAGCGGUGAAAUGCGUAGAUAUUGGGAAGAACACCAGCGGCGAAAGCGCGCUACUGGGCUGUAACUGACACUGAGGGACGAAAGCCAGGGGAGCGAAUGGGAUUAGAUACCCCUGUAGUC
Molecule: ribosomal RNA, 443 nt
Filed under: Cyanobacteriota bacterium 1641_2RGII
Lineage: Bacteria; Bacillati; Cyanobacteriota
Description: bacterial SSU rRNA
Rfam family: Bacterial small subunit ribosomal RNA
Source: RNAcentral